UGGGGAAUAUUGGACAAUGGGCGCAAGCCUGAUCCAGCCAUGCGGCGUGAGUGAUGAAGGCCCUAGGGUUGUAAAGCUCUUUCACCGGUGAAGAUAAUGACGGUAACCGGAGAAGAAGCCCCGGCUAACUUCGUGCCAGCAGCCGCGGUAAUACGAAGGGGGCUAGCGUUGUUCGGAUUUACUGGGCGUAAAGCGCACGUAGGCGGACUAUUAAGUCAGGGGUGAAAUCCCGGGGCUCAACCCCGGAACUGCCUUUGAUACUGGUAGUCUUGAGUUCGAGAGAGGUGAGUGGAAUUCCGAGUGUAGAGGUGAAAUUCGUAGAUAUUCGGAGGAACACCAGUGGCGAAGGCGGCUCACUGGCUCGAUACUGACGCUGAGGUGCGAAAGCGUGGGGAGCAAACAGG
This 404-nucleotide ribosomal RNA is filed under the name Actinomycetes bacterium. Its description in RNAcentral is "Actinobacteria bacterium partial 16S ribosomal RNA". It matches the Rfam family "Bacterial small subunit ribosomal RNA", at positions 355 to 776 of the family's 1533-position model. The record is from RNAcentral. Lineage: Bacteria; Bacillati; Actinomycetota; Actinomycetes.